UAAUACGUAGGGGGCAAGCGUUGUCCGGAUUUAUUGGGCGUAAAGAGCGUGUAGGCGGCUUGGUAGGUCCGCUGUGAAAACUCGAGGUUCAACCUCGAGAUGUCGGCGGAAACCACUUGGCUAGAGUCCGGAAGAGGAGAGUGGAAUUCCUGGUGUAGCGGUGAAAUGCGCAGAUAUCAGGAAGAACACCUAUGGCGAAGGC
RNAcentral lists this ribosomal RNA (202 nucleotides) under uncultured bacterium. RNAcentral describes it as "partial 16S ribosomal RNA". It matches the Rfam family "Bacterial small subunit ribosomal RNA", at positions 521 to 722 of the family's 1533-position model. The record is from RNAcentral.